UACGGAGGGUGCAAGCGUUAAUCGGAAUUACUGGGCGUAAAGCGCACGCAGGUGGCUGAGUAAGUCGAUUGUGAAAGCCCUGGGCUUAACCUGGGAAUUGCAGUCGAUACUACUCGGCUUGAGUAUGGGAGAGGGCAGUGGAAUUCUCGGUGUAGCGGUGAAAUGCGUAGAUAUCGAGAGGAACAUCAGUGGCGAAGGCGGCUGCCUGGCCCAAUACUGACACUCAGGUGCGACAGCGUGGGGAGCAAACAGG
Molecule: ribosomal RNA, 253 nt
Filed under: uncultured bacterium
Lineage: Bacteria
Description: partial 16S ribosomal RNA
Rfam family: Bacterial small subunit ribosomal RNA
Source: RNAcentral